CACCGCGGUUAUACGAGAGGCCCGAGUUGAUAUUUUCCGGCGUAAAGAGUGGUUAUGGAGUACAUCAACUAAAGCCGAACCCCUUCAGGGCUGUCCCACGCGUAUGAAGAACAGAAGCCCAACCACGAAAGUGGCUUUAAAACCCCUGACCCCACGAAAACUAUGGCA
This 168-nucleotide ribosomal RNA is filed under the name Scorpaena guttata (California scorpionfish). Its description in RNAcentral is "partial small subunit ribosomal RNA". Lineage: Eukaryota; Metazoa; Chordata; Actinopteri; Perciformes; Scorpaenidae. The record is from RNAcentral.